UACUCGAGUGGCGAACGGGUGAGUAACGCGUGGGUGAUCUGCCCUGCACUUCGGGAUAAGCUUGGGAAACUGGGUCUAAUACCGGAUAGGAGCCAUCUUUAGUGUGGUGGUUGGAAAGUUUUUUCGGUGUAGGAUGAGCUCGCGGCCUAUCAGCUUGUUGGUGGGGUAAUGGCCUACCAAGGCGGCGACGGGUAGCCGGCCUGAGAGGGUGUACGGCCACAUUGGGACUGAGAUACGGCCCAG
RNAcentral lists this ribosomal RNA (243 nucleotides) under uncultured Actinomycetales bacterium. RNAcentral's name for it is "partial 16S ribosomal RNA". It matches the Rfam family "Bacterial small subunit ribosomal RNA", at positions 88 to 334 of the family's 1533-position model. Lineage: Bacteria; Bacillati; Actinomycetota; Actinomycetes; Actinomycetales. The record is from RNAcentral.